Molecule: long non-coding RNA, 932 nt
Filed under: Nicotiana tabacum (common tobacco)
Lineage: Eukaryota; Viridiplantae; Streptophyta; Magnoliopsida; Solanales; Solanaceae
Description: long non-coding RNA (NTAB_LNC003232)
Source: RNAcentral
CCAGUCUCGCUUAAGUAAAAUCCAACUAACAAUUGACCAUUUCACAGUGGACUCAAACGUACAUCAACAUCAAAGAGCCCCAGUAACUCACAACCAAGAAACUAACUGAGAUCCAUACCUCACAACCAAAACAUCAAAGAGUCAUCUAGUGCUACAGGGCAGGUUUACAACUAAACAAUUAAAAGAAUGUGAUAAAGGGAAGGACAAACUACUCUACACAUUCUGACAGUUCCCCAAAGACAUGAGUGACAUUUGUGAACAAGACAUAAACGUGGAUAAACUUAGUACUGACUUACAACACUGUAACAGUCCAAUAAUCCAACAUUACUUAUAACACAUAGGUGCAAACCCAAAGUCUGAAAAAGAAACAUGCUACAAACUAUAUAUAACUAACUACUCAUAAUGAUUAACGAGAAAAAUGUGUAGGAAUCGCAAGAAGACCAAUAGCCUCUGUUCGAAGGAACAAAAUAGCCAUUUCAGCUUGAUUUCAUAAAACUUCUGGUCUACAUUUACUCAGGGAUCAAACGUCUUAACAUACCUGAAAAUGUGAAGAAAACAACAACGAGAUAAUCAGAGAUCCAGCAUCAGUAACAAAUAACAGAGUGGAACUCAAAUCCAAUGGAACAGUGUACCAAAAACAGCUCAAACCCUAGAAAAUGCACUUUAGCAGACCAGAUUGCAGUGUCAAAUACACUUUCAAACAAGCAAACACCAAAACCUAGCCUUAAUGACUAAAUAUCAAGCCAUUUCGAAGUCCAAACCUUCAGGAAAUUGAUUUAAAAUGAGAAGGAUUUCAGAUUCUCAAGCUACAAUUCAAUGGAACAGUGUUUUUCCUAGAGGUUUCAGCCGUUGCAGAUUUUUUUCUUCUUUGGAUUCUUAGCUCUCCACUCCUUUUUUAAGUUUCUUUCUAUAUCUUAGGUCUUGGGUAUCCC